Molecule: ribosomal RNA, 440 nt
Filed under: uncultured bacterium
Lineage: Bacteria
Description: partial 16S ribosomal RNA
Rfam family: Bacterial small subunit ribosomal RNA
Source: RNAcentral
CCUACGGGUGACAGCAGUGGGGAAUAGUGCACAAUGGGGGGAACCCUGAUGCAGCGACGCCGCGUGAGCGAGGAAGUAUUUCGGUAUGUAAAGCUCUAUCAGCAGGGACGAAAAAAGACGGUACCUGACUAAGAAGCCCCGGCUAACUACGUGCCAGCAGCCGCGGUAAUACGUAGGGGGCAAGCGUUAUCCGGAUUUACUGGGUGUAAAGGGUGCGCAGGCGGAAGAUCAAGUCAGCGGUAAAAUUGAGAGGCUCAACCUCUUCGAGCCGUUGAAACUGGUUUUCUUGAGUGAGUGAGACGUAUGCGGAAUGCGUGGUGUAGCGGUGCAAUGCAUCGAUCUCACGCAGAACUCCGAUUGCGACGGCAGCAUACCGGCGCUCAACUGACGCUCAUGCACGAACGUGUGGGUAUCGAACAGGAUUAGAUACCCUUGUAGUC